AACGCACAUGGCGCCCGCCGGCAUUCCGGCGGGCACGCCUGUCCGAGCGUCAUUGCACCCGUCACGCCCCGCGUGGUGUUGGGGGACGUCGCGCCUGGCGCGACCCCUCCGGAACCCGUUGGCGGUGGCCCUUCGCCCCGAUCGUCGCGCACGUUACGACGGGCGCGGGGGGACGCCCGCCUCAACCGCCGCCCGCCCUCUUCGGCGGGCGCGCAUCGCAACGCUUGACCUCGGAUCAGGCGGGGAUACCCGCUGAACUUAA
RNAcentral lists this unclassified non-coding RNA (262 nucleotides) under uncultured fungus. RNAcentral's name for it is "partial contains 5.8S ribosomal RNA, internal transcribed spacer 2, and large subunit ribosomal RNA". The record is from RNAcentral. Lineage: Eukaryota; Fungi.